UACAGAGGUCUCAAGCGUUGUUCGGAUUCAUUGGGCGUAAAGGGUGCGUAGGCGGUUUGGUAAGUCUGAUGUGAAAUCUAUGGGCUCAACUCAUAGUCUGCAUCGGAAACUGCCGGGCUUGAGUAUGGGAGAGGUGAGUGGAAUUCCUGGUGUAGCGGUGAAAUGCGUAGAUAUCAGGAGGAACACCUGUGGCGAAAGCGGCUCACUGGACCAUAACUGACGCUGAUGCACGAAAGCUAGGGGAGCAAACAGG
Molecule: ribosomal RNA, 253 nt
Filed under: uncultured bacterium
Lineage: Bacteria
Description: partial 16S ribosomal RNA
Rfam family: Bacterial small subunit ribosomal RNA
Source: RNAcentral